CCUACGGGGUGCUGCAGUGGGGAAUAUUGGACAAUGGGCGAAAGCCUGAUCCAGCCAUGCCGCGUGUGUGAAGAAGGCCUUCGGGUUGUAAAGCACUUUCAGUGGGGAAGAAAGCCUUGGGGCUAAUACCCUCGAGGAAGGACAUCACCCACAGAAGAAGCACCGGCUAACUCCGUGCCAGCAGCCGCGGUAAUACGGAGGGUGCGAGCGUUAAUCGGAAUUACUGGGCGUAAAGCGCGCGUAGGCGGUCUGAUAAGCCGGUUGUGAAAGCCCCGGGCUCAACCUGGGAACGGCAUCCGGAACUGUCAGGCUAGAGUGCAGGAGAGGAAGGUAGAAUUCCCGGUGUAGCGGUGAAAUGCGUAGAGAUCGGGAGGAAUACCAGUGGCGAAGGCGGCCUUCUGGACUGACACUGACGCUGAGGUGCGAAAGCGUGGGUAGCAAACAGGAUUAGAUACCCGGGUAGU
Molecule: ribosomal RNA, 464 nt
Filed under: Vreelandella stevensii
Lineage: Bacteria; Pseudomonadati; Pseudomonadota; Gammaproteobacteria; Oceanospirillales; Halomonadaceae
Description: partial 16S ribosomal RNA
Rfam family: Bacterial small subunit ribosomal RNA
Source: RNAcentral